Molecule: non-coding RNA, 441 nt
Organism: Biomphalaria pfeifferi
Lineage: Eukaryota; Metazoa; Mollusca; Gastropoda; Planorbidae
Source: the annotation of a GenBank genome assembly
ACCUUUUUUUUUUUUUUUUUUUUACACAUUUAGUGUUGAAGUAAAGUUUCUGUAUAUAUAAAGGAACAUGAGAGUGUGUGGCCAGUACAAUGACUUAUCACUGUAGUGCUACAGAUGUCCAGGAAAAUUGAAGCAGUGCUCAGAGUUUCUGACAUUUCACUAUUUGUUCAGACUUAACUAUGAACCCAGAAACAUGAGUUGAUAACACAGAAUAGGAAAGAAAAAGAAUCUACACUAGAUUUAUAUUCAGUCAUUAAAAAUACAAGCUAUUAAAUGAUGAUGUUAUGUUAUUAAACAAAACAAAAAAUACACUUGCCAACAUACAAUAUUUAAGAAAGAACAAACACAUAUUUAAUUAUAUUAUCAAUGGACACACAUUCUUUACUAAGAUCUAGGGGUCAAUCAAAUGAAUUCAUCGUUUUUUUUUGGGGGGGGGGGGGG